GCAACAGCACUGGAAACAGAAGUCAUCUGUUUAUCCAAAGACCAGGUAUAGCAUGGACAGUGGCAGCAAAAACAUCCCCACCACUGCCUCUCCAAUGCUGCUCAGUCCUGAUCCUGAUAAGCAUUUUCAUGGCUGGGAGGGUAGUUUCAUUUCUGUGGCCAUUCACUAUUUGGCCUCU
Chelonoidis abingdonii (Abingdon island giant tortoise) is the source of this 178-nucleotide unclassified non-coding RNA. The record is from Ensembl. Lineage: Eukaryota; Metazoa; Chordata; Testudines; Testudinidae.